GCCGCCGUAGCUCAGUUGGGAGAGCGCGUGACUGAAGAUCACGAGGUCGCUGGUUCGAACCCGGCUGGCGGCACCA
This 76-nucleotide transfer RNA is filed under the name Thermoplasmatales archaeon BRNA1. RNAcentral's name for it is "tRNA-Phe (GAA) (tRNA-Phe-GAA-1-1)". It matches the Rfam family "tRNA". Rfam says of the family: Transfer RNA (tRNA) molecules are approximately 80 nucleotides in length. Their secondary structure includes four short double-helical elements and three loops (D, anti-codon, and T loops). RNAcentral also lists the same sequence under 4 other names. Lineage: Archaea; Methanobacteriati; Thermoplasmatota; Thermoplasmata; Thermoplasmatales. The record is from RNAcentral.